GCAUAUUCAAAAAGCGGAGGAAAAGAAACCAACAGGGAUUGCCUCAGUAACGGCGAGUGAAGCGGCAAAAGCUCAAAUUUGAAAUCUGGUUGUGCCUGGCGCAGCCCGAGUUGUAAUUUGAAGAAGGCGACUCUGGAGGCGGCCCUUGCCUAUGUUCCUUGGAACAGGACGUCACAGAGGGUGAGAAUCCCGUGCGGCGAGGUGGCCCCGGCUCCGUGUAGAGCGCUUUCGAAGAGUCGAGUUGUUUGGGAAUGCAGCUCUAAGUGGGUGGUAAAUUCCAUCUAAAGCUAAAUAUUGGCGAGAGACCGAUAGCGAACAAGUACAGUGAUGGAAAGAUGAAAAGAACUUUGAAAAGAGAGUGAAAAAGUACGUGAAAUUGUUGAAAGGGAAGGGUAUUAGAUCAGACUUGGCGGUUGCUGGGGAUCCCCCCCUGCCCUUGUGGCGGGAGGGCUACUCCCUGCGCGCUGGGCCAGCAUCGAUUCGGACGGCGGGAGAAUGGCGUGGAGAAUGUGGCAGCGGCCCUUUGCGGGGCUGGUGUGCUUAUAGCUCUGGGCAGAUGCCGCCUGUGUGGAUCGAGGAGUGCGUCCUUAGGGACUAGGAUGCUGGCGUAAUGAUCUAACACCGCCCGUCUGAA
This 634-nucleotide ribosomal RNA is filed under the name Taiozyma onychis. RNAcentral describes it as "eukaryotic LSU rRNA". It matches the Rfam family "Eukaryotic large subunit ribosomal RNA", at positions 38 to 657 of the family's 3401-position model. Lineage: Eukaryota; Fungi; Ascomycota; Saccharomycetes; Phaffomycetales; Wickerhamomycetaceae. The record is from RNAcentral.